Molecule: long non-coding RNA, 2009 nt
Organism: Hipposideros armiger (great roundleaf bat)
Lineage: Eukaryota; Metazoa; Chordata; Mammalia; Chiroptera; Hipposideridae
Exons: 2
Source: RefSeq, a predicted model, not a curated record
AGACUCGCCUGUGAUUAUUCUUUCCUUUCCCAGGAGUGCUGUGGUCUGUUUGUGACCAAUAUUCAGGGCCUUUGUGUAGCCCAAGGCCACCUUAACCUUUGCAGGGCCUACCCCGCACAGGGCACAUUAAACAUCAGUGUUUUGAAGCAAAAACCCUCACGAUUUUUUACCAUUUUGCUUGUGAAAUUAUUUGGCUGUGAGUAACUCGUUGCUUCUCAGUGUGCUUGUGUUUUAAAAAUUUCAUUGUGUAUAUUCAGAAAUUCUUGCAAAGUGAGAAAAACCUAACCCAGAAAUGUUACCAGAUGUGAUGAAAUGAAUUUGAAAAUCACAUUAAACAAUUGAUGAAGUUGAUACAAUGAUAAACUUUCUGGAAAUUUAGUGAAACGUAUGUUUUGAUUUGCUGUUUCUUUAUCUUGGAGCCAAUAACAUGUUUUGCUUUGAUUUUUUUUUUUCCCCCCUGUAGCCUAAACCUUUUGCAGGUCCUGAACAGCCGAAGGGCAACAGGCGACCCCUUCAUGGGGUGCAGGUGGAGCGGAAGGGCCUUAGAGGAGGUUUAGUUGUGGUGAUUAUUUGCUUUGCACCCAAAGAAAUGGCCCUUGUUUCUUCUCACAGCCAGGGGCACCGAAGCCACAGGAAGUGUGCAGCCCGGAGACUGCUAGAUUGAAAUGGGAUGAAAACAUUUGAAAGUCUUGUGCAGAAUUGUCUCUUCUUUGAGGGAAGCAGUGUUGGUCAGGAGCCAUAGGAAAGCUCACCUUCUGCACCUGCCCUCACCAAGGUGGGGAGCUAGGCGUCUCUGUGGUUUGGGAAUAUGGUUUUCAAAUGGCGAGGUCAGCACUGCCAAGUUAGUGACUACUCUUAGCUUACUUGUGGAAGUUUUCAGUACGUCUUAUGUGUUAAAAGUGAUUCCUAGACUUGCUUACAACUCCUGUAGUUAGUAUCCCAUCAGCUCGGCGUCUGCUGGCCAUCAGCCUACCGGAACUGCUUUUCCAGAUUAAAACCAAAUGCAGCCAUGAGUCCUAGCGGGUCACACGUUUCCACAGAUGAGAUGAAGGCAGAUUUGAAGUUGAAUAGUUAGGAAGGAGAUGGGUGUGGCUGGGACCUGCAGAGCAGAGCAGCCUUCUGGUACCGUGGGAGCCGCCUGUGGGUGAGUCUGGCCUUCCAGGAAGAGGCCGCAACUGACAUUCCACGUUAGGCUGUCGACCGUGCAGAAUGCGGCGGGGCUGCAGGCCAGCCUGGGCUCACUAAUAACGGAAGAAACGGGGAGCACUUUUGUGCCUGUGUGUCCUGUGUCAUGCACUUAAGAACCUGAGAAGGGCCCAGAAGCCCCCCGCGUUGCACAGGAGCCCGGGUGGAGGAGCCGAGCUUUGCUUUGCGAGGACGGGCCUCGUGCCCUGACAGCUGCUCCACUCUGGACCGCGGCAGCCGCUCUCCCUGUCCUCCAGGAGCUCACUUACAUCGGGCCGUGAGCUCCUCGGGGCCAGAGCCCGUGUCUGCCUCAGUGUCAGCGCCAGCGCCAGCCCAGGACCUCCGGAGGGCGCCGUGCCCGCCACACACAGGGCCCACAGACCAGCUCGUGGUGUUUCCGCAGCAGCUUAAUAUAGCUCAUCAAGGCAGCAGCCUCCUGAAUUGUUGAUGUGCAAAUUUUCUGAAAUUGUUUUCACUUUAAUCAGGAUAUUGCAAACAAAGAGGGGGAAUGUUGACCAUUGUUGAUUUGUAGCAGCAGGAAGAUAACAGUAUCCCAUGUUGUUUAGCCAAAUGUUUUGCCUGAAGUGAGAGGGCGUUUGGGGAAAUUAGUCAGUAAAGGAUGUAACGAUUUGUACCUGCGUAUGUAUCUUAUAUCACUAACUGUAGCAAAUCCAAGUGUCACUGUGCACGUCUCACCUUUAAAAAGGCCGCUUGGUCCUGGUUGUGGCUCUGCAGGUUCCCAGCAGAAACUCUGUACAGGGCACGAGGGGUCUGUUGCUGCUCACAGUUGCACAUGCGUCAUAUCAUUAAAAAAUUGGGAAACA